This 254-nucleotide ribosomal RNA is filed under the name uncultured bacterium. RNAcentral describes it as "partial 16S ribosomal RNA". It matches the Rfam family "Bacterial small subunit ribosomal RNA", at positions 524 to 776 of the family's 1533-position model. The record is from RNAcentral.
UACGGGGGGGGGCAAGCGUUGUUCGGAAUUACUGGGCGUAAAGGGCUCGUAGGCGGCCAACUAAGUCAGACGUGAAAUCCCCAGGCUCAACCUGGGAACUGCGUCUGAUACUGGUUGGCUUGAAUCCGGGAGAGGGAUGCAGAAUUCCAGGUGUAGCGGUGAAAUGCGCAGAUAUCAGGAGGAACACCGGUGGCGAAGGCGGGUCUCUGGGCAAUAACUGACGCUGAGGAGCGAAAGCGUGGGGAGCGAACAGG